Vicugna pacos (alpaca) is the source of this 1429-nucleotide non-coding RNA. The record is from RefSeq and is a predicted model, not a curated record. Lineage: Eukaryota; Metazoa; Chordata; Mammalia; Artiodactyla; Camelidae.
UCAUAAAAGGUAUAAUACAAAUCCUGAGCAUCUCAGUGUGAAAGUAACAGCAGAUAGAGGCCAUCUCUGCAAGAGCGAUGGACACCUGGAGCGUUGGGUGGAAGGUAUUUCUGAAAGGGACAAGUGCCCCAAGAAGGAAAUCAUGAGGGGAGAGUACAAGGAAGUACAAAAACAAAUUCCACCUUCUUGGAAGCUACAAGUUAGGCUUGUGAUCAUCAAAGUGGACACAUUUGGAAGCCAGCUGCCAUCUAAGAAGUCUAACUAACCUGAGGCCACCAUGCUGUAAGGAUGCCUAAGAUAGCCAUGUGGAGACAGGGAGGCCAUGUGGAAGAUCACUGAAAUGCCAUUUAUAUUGGAGACACCUGAUUGAACAGCCUGUUAUAUUGAUACCAAGAGCACCAGGAAUCUGCUCCCUGACCUGACCUGCAUAAGUUAAUUAGUUUGUGUGUCCAAAAGAUAUUUAUGGUUGUAACCUCUUGGCUAUAUCAUUGAUGAAGCUCCUGAUAUUUUCCUGAGCUGAGUUUCCAGAGCAACUAUAGCUGAGAGUUGGCUGGCUGGCUGGAACAGAAUCCCUAAGAGAUGCAUUGGUGAAAUCAUGAGAGACCAUGGUCGCUGGUCAGCAGAUACUCAGAAACCUAUGGGAAAUGUAAUUUUAUUUUACCUUUGAAGUUCGUGUCAAGAAGAUCAUUCACUUUUGUGACCAUGGCACUGAGACAUUUUUGUAAUUUCCCAUAGCUUAAGGGUUUUUCAUGCUGCAUUAAGUAUCUAUGGUGUUUAAAUAGCAUUACAGCCUAUUAAAUCCGUGACCCACAAAGUAGGAAGCUUGAGAGGCACAAAAAAGUAAUUCACAAGAAGUUUUCUAUAAGGUUAUUUUCCUGUAAAAUAGAAGGAAAAAAAAAAGAGCCCUUUAUGUAAAAAGUAGGAAUUUGGGUCCGUGGGUCAUUGAUAAGUGGGAUAUAAAGGGGAAAAAAUUACAACUGUCUCUACCUAAUUUCCUCUGUCGCAUGUUUUUGGUUUCUUAUAGCAAAUAUGUCCAUGACAUUGCAUAUUCAAGGCAUUAGGAGUCACUGCCUUAGAAUUCAUGACUUCUUGCUUUCCAUGCUGAAGUUUGACCAUACCUGUGUAUCCGAUACCCAGAAAGAGCCCCUCUCAUUGCAAUAAAAAUAUCUUCAACCAGGGGCUACUCUAAUUUUGUUUGGCUUUGGUCUUAUGAAAUGACUCACCUAACACUUUAAAAAACUUCUCCACAUAUUGAAUAAAUAAAAUACAACUGAAUCACUAAUUUGCAGUAACUAACUGCACUAACUAGCCCUCAGUUGGAGAUAGAAGGAUUGCAAUGUUUUAUUCUCUGAAAUGAAGCUACUUUUUUUUUUUAAUGCACCCUUGGAAAAUCACCAUUUGACUUUCGGACACAGUGUUUCAGACUCUA